RNAcentral lists this ribosomal RNA (497 nucleotides) under uncultured bacterium. RNAcentral describes it as "partial 16S ribosomal RNA". It matches the Rfam family "Bacterial small subunit ribosomal RNA", at positions 28 to 507 of the family's 1533-position model. The record is from RNAcentral.
GACGAACGCUGGCGGCGUGCCUAAUACAUGCAAGUAGAACGCUGAAGAGAGGAGCUUACUCUUCUUGGAUGAGUUGCGAACGGGUGAGUAACGCGUAGGUAACCUGCCUUGUAGCGGGGGAUAACUAUUGGAAACGAUAGCUAAUACCGCAUAACAAUGGAUGACACAUGUCAUUUAUUUGAAAGGGGCAAUUGCUCCACUACAAGAUGGACCUGCGUUGUAUUAGCUAGUAGGUGAGGUAAUGGCUCACCUAGGCGACGAUACAUAGCCGACCUGAGAGGGUGAUCGGCCACACUGGGACUGAGACACGGCCCAGACUCCUACGGGAGGCAGCAGUAGGGAAUCUGCGGCAAUGGGGGCAACCCUGACCGAGCAACGCCGCGUGAGUGAAGAAGGUUUUCGGAUCGUAAAGCUCUGUUGUAAGUCAAGAACGGGUGUGAGAGUGGAAAGUUCACACUGUGACGGUAGCUGACCAGAAAGGGACGGCUAACUACGUG